Molecule: long non-coding RNA, 1127 nt
Organism: Eriocheir sinensis (Chinese mitten crab)
Lineage: Eukaryota; Metazoa; Arthropoda; Malacostraca; Decapoda; Varunidae
Exons: 3
Source: RefSeq, a predicted model, not a curated record
GUCAAAAGGGGGGGUGCCGACAGUAAAACCCUCUCCAAGAAAAUGAAGGUUACAUAAUGUAAAUCUUACCACUUUUCUCUUAAUUUAUAUAAUUACGGCAGUCUCCCCGAAGAGAACUAAGUUUUCUAUAUUGUUUGUUUUGGUACGCUCAGCUGACUGUGUUUACAUCCCGCCCCGACCUACGUGAUGGUGUUUAAAUGGUAGACCAGCUGUUUGUUCUGCUUGUGAACCAAACAAAUUAUCCAUCAUUUCCACAGGUUUUGUCUUGUGUUCUACUGUAAAAGAAGAAUUUCAAGACACUCAGAAAAUGACUGGAAAUUAUAGUGGAGACUCCAGUCCUGUUCAUUAUGGUGAUGUGGAUUGGAUAGUAAUGGAUGGUGAGGAGUACUUUGGACGAGUAGCACAUCUAUUCACUGAAAAUCCAAAGUGCUGUGUCCCAAACCAUAGACCAGUUAUGGAAGGGAAUGCAUCAGGUUAUCCCAUACAUGGAGACACCAUUCUGGAUUCUCAUACAAGUAAGAGUUUCUCACAUAAUGUUGCCCAUCUGAAGCAUAUUACAGACUCAUUAAAGUCCUAUGAAGAUGUUAAGAUCGCCAAACCUAACAUUGAUGAAGUGCAACGAGUGAUUAGUGCAACUGAAGCCCACAUCUCUUCCCUAAAGUCUAAAUUAAAUAAAUAUAUAACAAAAGAGACUCACCAAAGCAGUGGAGGUACACCAGAGCCACUUGAUGAAGAAACAGAAGUACAGGAAGAACCAGGGUCAGAAAGUGUUUUGAGUGAUGAUGAAAUGGAAGCAGAGUCAAGAGAGAGGGAAGGAGAGCUAAGCGAUGAUAAAAGUAAACAUGAACAGGGAAGUCUGGCUCAGAGAAAAGAACAAACACCAAGGAAAAGUUUACAAGGGUCCUCAAUUGUAACAGGAAGAUCAAGUGCGCGUAAACGCCGCCGCAUUUCUGAGGUAUUGUAAACUAACAGAUCAAGAGAUACAGAGAAGCAACAUCCCUCAAGGAAGUCGAGUUGCCUUCAUGCUAAAGACUCAAGCGAAUCAUAUUCUUCUCAAAGGUGUUAAAGGAAGAAUAUGGUUGACCAUACUCAUUGAACUUUGAUAAGAAAUAAAUAUGUAUUACAAA